Molecule: non-coding RNA, 24 nt
Filed under: Cricetulus griseus (Chinese hamster)
Lineage: Eukaryota; Metazoa; Chordata; Mammalia; Rodentia; Cricetidae
Source: RNAcentral
AUGGGUCACCUUUUUCUCUGGACC